CUACGGGAGGCAGCAGUGGGGAAUCUUGCACAAUGGAGGAAACUCUGAUGCAGCGAUGCCGCGUGAGUGAAGAAGGCCCUUGGGUUGUAAACCUCUUUCGUCGGGGAAGAAAAUGACUGUACCCGAAUAAGAAGGUCCGGCUAACUUCGUGCCAGCAGCCGCGGUAAUACGAAGGGACCUAGCGUAGUUCGGAAUUACUGGGCUUAAAGAGUUCGUAGGUGGUUGAAAAAGUUAGUGGUGAAAUCCCAGAGCUUAACUCUGGAACUGCCAUUAAAACUUUUCAGCUAGAGUAUGAUAGAGGAAAGCAGAAUUUCUAGUGUAGAGGUGAAAUUCGUAGAUAUUAGAAAGAAUACCAAUUGCGAAGGCAGCUUUCUGGAUCAUUACUGACACUGAGGAACGAAAGCAUGGGUAGCGAAGAGGAUUAGAUACCCUCGUAGUCCAUGCCGUAAACGAUGUGUGUUAGACGUUGGAAAUUUAUUUUCAGUGUCGCAGCGAAAGCGAUAAACACACCGCCUGGGGAGUACGACCGCAAGGUUAAAACUCAAAGGAAUUGACGGA
RNAcentral lists this ribosomal RNA (558 nucleotides) under uncultured bacterium. RNAcentral's name for it is "bacterial SSU rRNA". It matches the Rfam family "Bacterial small subunit ribosomal RNA", at positions 339 to 917 of the family's 1533-position model. The record is from RNAcentral.